RNAcentral lists this transfer RNA (73 nucleotides) under Treponema sp. CETP13. RNAcentral describes it as "tRNA-Gln". It matches the Rfam family "tRNA". From Rfam's summary of the family: Transfer RNA (tRNA) molecules are approximately 80 nucleotides in length. Their secondary structure includes four short double-helical elements and three loops (D, anti-codon, and T loops). Lineage: Bacteria; Pseudomonadati; Spirochaetota; Spirochaetia; Treponematales; Treponemataceae. The record is from RNAcentral.
UGGACCGUCGGCAAGUGGUAAGCCACCGCCUUUUGGUGGCGGUAUUUCGCAGGUUCGAGUCCUGCCGGUCCAA